Molecule: ribosomal RNA, 253 nt
Filed under: uncultured bacterium
Lineage: Bacteria
Description: partial 16S ribosomal RNA
Rfam family: Bacterial small subunit ribosomal RNA
Source: RNAcentral
UACGAGAGCCUCGAGCGUUAUCCGGAAUUAUUGGGCGUAAAGGGUGCGUAGGUUGUUUUGUUAGUCUUUUGUUAAAGACCCGAGCUUAACUUGGGGACCGCGAAGGAAACGGCAAAACUUGAAAGUGUGAGAGGCGUACGGAACUCAUGGUGUAGGGGUGAAAUCUGUUGAUAUCAUGGGGAACACCGAAAGCGAAAGCAGUACGCUGGCGCAUAUUUGACACUGAAGCACGAAAGCGUGGGUAGCGAAUGGG